AACGAACGCUGGCGGCAGGCUUAAUACAUGCAAGUCGAACGAUUAAAGCUCUUUCGGGAGUGUAUAAAGUGGCGAACGGGUGAGUAACGGGUGGAUUAUCUGCCUUUCGGUGGGGGAUAACGGCUGGAAACGGCCGCUAAUACCGCGUACGAUUGCGCAAGCAAGGAAAGGCGCUGCAAGGCGCCGCCGGAAGAUGAGUCCGCCUCCCAUUAGCUAGUUGGUGAGAUAAUAGCCCACCAAGGCUUCGAUGGGUAGCCGAGCUGAGAGGUUGAUCGGCCACACUGGAACUGAGACACGGUCCAGACACCUACGGGAGGCUG
RNAcentral lists this ribosomal RNA (320 nucleotides) under uncultured Candidatus Sumerlaeota bacterium. Its description in RNAcentral is "bacterial SSU rRNA". It matches the Rfam family "Bacterial small subunit ribosomal RNA", at positions 29 to 351 of the family's 1533-position model. Lineage: Bacteria; Candidatus Sumerlaeota. The record is from RNAcentral.